GCCAGGGAUUAUCCGGGGAGCUAUAGUCUUGCCGCGGGAGGAGGCUGGGUUGCAGGAGCCAGAACUCAGGCGCAAAGAGGAGAGAAUCAAUCUGCGUUUCUGGGACUGAAAAAAACAAUCAUCUCCUGGUGACCAUUUGGUGAUGAUGCCGCCUGCAUUUAGUGAGGCUGGUGCUGGCAUGAUGAGGCCAAGUGAGUUAAUGCGUCCAAUUAAAAAUCUUUAAAGCUUGGGAAGACCUACCAGAGUGUCUACUCCAAUGAUACGGCUCUUAACACCUAAGGGUCGCUUCCAUUGCAGAAGGGGGAAUCAGGAAGGAACUUGAUUCUAGAAUCAUCACAAUCCACGAAGAUCCAUGAAGACACAGCCUGUGCUGAGUUUCCAUUUAUGCUCCUGAAUCUAUGGUAGGAAUUUGUCAAACGGGCCUUGGCAGAGUGACCUCUCAUUAUGACGCUCUGUCAUUAUAAAGACGGAGAUUUUCCUUGGCUCUCCCUAAACCACAAAGUGCUUGGUGUUUGCUUCUUCUUUCUGUGACUUCACUGUCCUGCUGGACCCUCAAGCCUUUUGUCUGCCCACUAGACAGAGAAUCCUUAGAGCUUAGGACUGGAUUAUGAGAUGAGAUAAUGACAACAGUGAUAACGGACAUCUCUAGAACGCUUUUACAGCUAUGUUCUCAUUUAAAAUGGGCAACCUUUGUCUGGUAGAGAAUGCCAGUAUUAUUAUUAUUAUUCCCAUUUUACAAAUGAGGAAACUGAGGCUUUCUUUUGAAAAUGGCUUUCUUUGCCAUGAAAAAAUGAUCCUUGGAAAGAAGAAAGGGAAAAGAAAGUUAAUAGGGUGUUGCAAUGCAAGAUAAAUGAAAACACAUUUAAAGAGCACCCAGGUCCAGGUGAGCUUUAUCUCAGGGCACUGGAAAAACUAGCCCCUAGGAAGUGUCUUAUUUAAACUUGUUAUCUCCUUCAGCACCAAACAGUGAGUUGCAUACAAUAAACACUUAAGAAAUGUUAUUAACUGAAUUCAAAGCUAAUAGGAUGAAAAUGAGCUAAUUCCUGUUUUGCUGAUCCAAAUUACUGCCUUCAGCUGAA
This is a long non-coding RNA of Phascolarctos cinereus (koala), 1079 nucleotides long. RefSeq lists it as uncharacterized. The record is from RefSeq and is a predicted model, not a curated record. NCBI's taxonomy places the organism in Eukaryota, Metazoa, Chordata, Mammalia, Diprotodontia, Phascolarctidae.